GUUUAGACGAGUUGUCUAUACAUUAUGUACACAGCCAUGUAUCACCAUCAUUGAUGGCGAUCCGAUGGAUACAUCUGUUGUAGAGUUGUCACUGACUCAGACGUACUUAUAAAUAUAAUUAUUUUCUGUGACUGUAUAUUACAUUAAUUUGUAGGAUCCUUUACUAUAGAUAAUUUAGCUGAUCUGUAAUAAUAACAUCUUCA
Molecule: long non-coding RNA, 203 nt
Filed under: Mytilus galloprovincialis (Mediterranean mussel)
Lineage: Eukaryota; Metazoa; Mollusca; Bivalvia; Mytilida; Mytilidae
Source: RNAcentral